This is a long non-coding RNA of Bombus terrestris (buff-tailed bumblebee), 1101 nucleotides long. RefSeq lists it as uncharacterized. The record is from RefSeq and is a predicted model, not a curated record. Lineage: Eukaryota; Metazoa; Arthropoda; Insecta; Hymenoptera; Apidae. The transcript has 2 exons.
ACCCUUCACGCUGCGCCACCGUCCGCCUGCCUUGGCAUCGCUGGUGCUGCUUCUUGUUGCGCCUUUUUCCGGCGUUCCCGCGCCGUUUGUGUGUGACUUUUAGGAUGUUCAAGGUCACGACAGCUGAGGACGUCAGCACGAAGAUCAUAUUCCAAUGAACGCGUGCUGCCAUGCCACAGGGGCGAAAGACCCUCGAUAUCGAUUUUCAAGGACACUUGCCCAGUAUAUCCACGAAAUUACUAUCCGUGCAUGUAUAUUGGUUGACUUAUUUGGCCUAAGUUGACGGAGUAACCUUUUUUUCUGCGUAUAUGUAUAAUGCGUAACAUUUCAAAUUUCUGAUUUGUUUCUGCAUUUUUAGAUAACGAGGCAUUGAAUAAUUCAGAAAUAACCGCAUAAUUAGAUCGCAUUUACAUAAUGUAGAACAAUUGCUUGCAGCACACAGCAAAUUUUGAAUAUUUUCCUAAUUAAUUUCGUAAUUUUUUCUUUCUUUCGUACGUAACUUUUAUAUGCACCUAUAUGUGCAACUAUUUUUUCUACGAUAUAUUGUAAAAAUCAACAGCAAGAAAGUUAUUAUCAUUCUGUUAUCAACAACGAAUAACAUUGGAAAUAAUGAGAACAAUUAUUCUAUAUAUAAAAAUCAGUGAGAUUGAUGAAAUUAAAUAAUUAACGAGGUAUAUGGUACUAUGAUAUAUGAUAAUAAAAUGUUCUACAUGCAUGUAAUUUUAUUGUUAAUCUUCCUGUAUAACCGAUUUAAAUAUUAUUUUAUUUUAAGGAAAUAUAGUAAUAAUCAGUAACAAUAACAACAAAACACUACUUAUAUAUUAGUAAUGUAUAAUAUUUUCCUUAAACUAACACCUAAUUGUACAUAUUCUUUAUGCAUGUACUCUCAUUAUUACCUGCCUGUACUGAACAAAAUUCCAAUUACGUUAUUCCACCUUCAUUUGAAUAUCAAAACCAAUAAUCGCAUUACGAGUGAAUUAUCUGUCGCCAUCAGAAUAAUACGCUACUAAAAUACACAUAAUACUAUAUCACAGUUAUAAAGGAACAAAAGGAGAGCCUAAGAAUAGUCUGUGGCUGUGGUGCAACAACUGUGCCAAUGUC